RNAcentral lists this ribosomal RNA (492 nucleotides) under uncultured bacterium. Its description in RNAcentral is "partial 16S ribosomal RNA". It matches the Rfam family "Bacterial small subunit ribosomal RNA", at positions 29 to 507 of the family's 1533-position model. The record is from RNAcentral.
AGUGAACGCUGGCGGUAGGCCUAACACAUGCAAGUCGAACGGCAGCACAGUAAGAGCUUGCUCUUACGGGUGGCGAGUGGCGGACGGGUGAGGAAUACAUCGGAAUCUACUUUUUCGUGGGGGAUAACGUAGGGAAACUUACGCUAAUACCGCAUACGACCUACGGGUGAAAGCAGGGGAUCUUCGGACCUUGCGCGAUUCAAUGAGCCGAUGUCGGAUUAGCUAGUUGGCGGGGUAAAGGCCCACCAAGGCGACGAUCCGUAGCUGGUCUGAGAGGAUGAUCAGCCACACUGGAACUGAGACACGGUCCAGACUCCUACGGGAGGCAGCAGUAGGGAAUAUUGGACAAUGGGCGCAAGCCUGAUCCAGCCAUACCGCGUGAGUGAAGAAGGCCUUCGGAUUGUAAAGCCCUUUUGUUGGGAAAGAAAAGCAGCAGGUUAAUACCCCGCUGUUCUGACGGUACCCAAAGAAUAAGCACCGGCUAACUUCGUG